Molecule: long non-coding RNA, 1010 nt
Filed under: Solanum tuberosum (potato)
Lineage: Eukaryota; Viridiplantae; Streptophyta; Magnoliopsida; Solanales; Solanaceae
Description: long non-coding RNA (STUB_LNC011381)
Source: RNAcentral
GGAUAUUUACAAAUCUUGAAAUGUCCUGUAAUUUCUUUUCUUCUCCUUUUUUUUUUUUCAUGUAUUUGUAUUUUUAUUUUUAUUUUAAUUGUAGAUAGAAAAUAUGUGGGUAUCUAAUUGCUAGGAAUCAGGAUUUGUGUAGGAUUGAGAUUUUUUGAGUUUGAGUAUUUUAGGAUUGUAUUUAGUUAGAUUAGGAAUAGAAAUAAAAUUUUAUGUGAUUUGAAAUUAGUUUUAGCAAGAAAUUCUAAAUAGAUUAGGACUAUUUUUUAGGAAGAUUUUUCCUUUUUAUUUUUUUUAUUUUCUUUUCUUUUCUUUUCCUCUUUUUUUUCUCCUUUUUUUUUACACGUCUUUUUUCUAACUUUUUUUUCACGUUUUGUUUUAUUAAUUUUAUAUUUUACUUUUCAUUCUGUUUCUCUCUUCGUAUUUUUUUUUCAAUUUUUUUUUAUUUACAUUUUUGUUCUGUUUCUUUCUACCGUUCUCUUUAUUUAUUUAUUUUAUUCUUUUUUUUUUAACUUCUGUUUAUGUUCUUCUUACCUUUUUAUUUUAGUUUUUUGGUUGUGUUUUAGCUUUCCUUUGUUUUCUUUUGUUUCAAUAUUUUUUUUCUACUCACGUUGUUCUUUUCUUUUCUUUUUUUUUAAAAAAGUUUUUUUUUUCUUCUUCUUAUGCUUUGUCGUUUUAUUUUAAAAUCAAUCUUCCUCAUUUUUUCUUUUUACCAUAAAUUCCUAAAUAAUAGUCAUACCUCUUAAUCAUAUAUCUUAACAAUCCGAAUUAAAACGAUUAUCAUCUUAACGCUUAUUCUAAAGGCAAAUUAUUUUUAAUAUAUUAAAAAAACUAAAACAUAUUCCAUAUAACUUUUCUGAAUCACUAAUCAAUUAAAGUUUAAUUUAUAUCGUAAUCUAACAAGUCUACAAAUAAUUUCAACAAAAAAUUUCUUAAGUGAAAACUAAGCUCCAAGAAACAUUAACUAUUCAAAACUAAAUAUCACGAAACCAAUUUAAAUAUAAAUUCCA